This 427-nucleotide ribosomal RNA is filed under the name uncultured bacterium. RNAcentral's name for it is "partial 16S ribosomal RNA". It matches the Rfam family "Bacterial small subunit ribosomal RNA", at positions 355 to 774 of the family's 1533-position model. The record is from RNAcentral.
UGGGGAAUUUUGGACAAUGGGCGCAAGCCUGAUGCAGCCAUGCCGCGUGUAUGAAGAAGGCCUUCGGGUUGUAAAGUACUUUCAGCGGGGAGGAAGGCGAUAAGGUUAAUAACCUUGUCGAUUGACGUUACCCGCAGAAGAAGCACCGGCUAACUCCGUGCCAGCAGCCGCGGUAAUACGGAGGGUGCAAGCGUUAAUCGGAAUUACUGGGCGUAAAGCGCACGCAGGCGGUCUGUCAAGUCGGAUGUGAAAUCCCCGGGCUCAACCUGGGAACUGCAUUCGAAACUGGCAGGCUAGAGUCUUGUAGAGGGGGGUAGAAUUCCAGGUGUAGCGGUGAAAUGCGUAGAGAUCUGGAGGAAUACCGGUGGCGAAGGCGGCCCCCUGGACAAAGACUGACGCUCAGGUGCGAAAGCGUGGGGAGCAAACA